RNAcentral lists this ribosomal RNA (494 nucleotides) under uncultured bacterium. Its description in RNAcentral is "partial 16S ribosomal RNA". The stretch from base 20 to 338 matches the Rfam family "Bacterial small subunit ribosomal RNA", at positions 47 to 358 of the family's 1533-position model. The record is from RNAcentral.
GACGAACGCUGGCGGCGUGCUUAACACAUGCAAGUCGAACGGUGAAGCGCCUUCCUUUUUGGUGGGUGUGGAUGAGUGGCGAACGGGUGAGUAACACGUGAGUAACCUGCCCCCUUCUUCUGGAUAACCGCAUGAAAGUGUGGCUAAUACGGGAUAUUCUGGGUCUGUCGCAUGAUGGGUCUGGGAAAGAUAUUGUUUCGGUGGGGGAUGGGCUCGCGGCCUAUCAGCUUGUUGGUGGGGUGAUGGCCUACCAAGGCGGUGACGGGUAGCCGGCCUGAGAGGGGGGAGGGCCAGAGGGGGGCGGAGCCCGGCCCGGGACUCAGAGGGGGGGCAGAGGGGGGAAGUAGGGAACAGGGGGGGAGAGCGUGAUGCGGGGGGGCGGUGGGGGGAGGGGGGGCCUGGGGGUGGUGACCCUCUUUGGCGGGUAAAGCGGGCCUGCCUGGUGUGUGGGGGGGUUGAGGGUAUCGGAAAAAGAAGCGCCGGCUAACUACGUG